Molecule: ribosomal RNA, 439 nt
Filed under: uncultured bacterium
Lineage: Bacteria
Description: partial 16S ribosomal RNA
Rfam family: Bacterial small subunit ribosomal RNA
Source: RNAcentral
CUACAGGGGGCAGCAGUGAGGAAUAUUGCACAAUGGGGGGAACCCUGAUGCAGCAACGCCGCGUGGAGGAUGACGCAUUUCGGUGUGUAAACUCCUUUUAUAUGUCAAGAAAAUGACGGUAGCAUAUGAAUAAGCACCGGCUAACUCCGUGCCAGCAGCCGCGGUAAUAAGGAGGGUACAAGCGUUACUCGGAAUCACUGGGCGUAAAGGACGCGUAGGCGGGUUGGAAAGUCAGGUGUGAAAUCCUACAGCUUAACUGUAGAACUGCACUUGAAACUUCUAAUCUAGAGUAUGGGAGGGGGAGAUGGAAUUAGUGGUGUAGGGGUAAAAUCCGUAGAUAUCACUAGGAAUACCUAAAGCGAAGGCGAUCUCCUGGAACAUUACUGACGCUAAGGCGUGAAAGCGUGGGGAGCAAACAGGAUUAGAUACCCGAGUAGUC